GGUGAACCUGCGGAAGGAUCAUUAACGAGUAACGGGUCCUUCUGGGCUCGCACUCCAACCCUUUGUUUACCUGCUCUGUGCCUCGGCAGGGUGCCUCUCAGGUACACCUGCCGGGAGAGAGGCCGCGACAGACAGCUGGUUUUGGCUUGCUUGAGACGCGGCUUCUGCUAAAUAAACUCUGUAAAACUUAAGAGUCUGAUCUAAAAUAUAUGGAACUAAAACUUUCAACAACGGAUCUCUUGGUUCUGGCAUCGAUGAAGAACGCAGCGAAAUGCGAUAAGUAGUGUGAAUUGCAGAAUUCAGUGAAUCAUCGAAUCUUUGAACGCACAUUGCGCCCCUCGGCAUUCCGUGGGGCAUACCUGUUCGAGCGUCAUUUCAACCCUCAGGCGGCUCUUUUGGUCUGUCUGGUCUUGGGCAUCGUCCAAGGACGUGCCUUAAAAGAAUUGGCAGCGUAGGUGCCGGCUUCGAGCGUAGCAGAUGCGAUUUGCUUUGGAAGCCGGCGCUCACCUUGCCAGAAUAAUCUUUGAAGGUUGACCUCGGAUCAGGUAGGGAUA
RNAcentral lists this ribosomal RNA (554 nucleotides) under uncultured fungus. RNAcentral describes it as "eukaryotic LSU rRNA". The stretch from base 220 to 373 matches the Rfam family "5.8S ribosomal RNA". The record is from RNAcentral. Lineage: Eukaryota; Fungi.